This is a long non-coding RNA of Felis catus (domestic cat), 1172 nucleotides long. RefSeq lists it as uncharacterized. NCBI's taxonomy places the organism in Eukaryota, Metazoa, Chordata, Mammalia, Carnivora, Felidae. The record is from RefSeq and is a predicted model, not a curated record. The transcript has 4 exons.
GGUCCCCUGGGCUCAGACUUCAUGUCCGUUAUCCUACGUAAGUUGCGAUUUUGAGAACUGGAGCCUGACAUGGUCCCAUUUUACAGGCUUGGGACAGUUCAACCACCCAGGUUGGAGGGAAAUGGUGCUCAAGUCUGGUUCCCUCCAGAUCUCCCAGGUGAUACAGCUUCUACCCCUGUUCCACUGAACGACCUCACUUCCUCUGUGACCCGUCAGCUCAUCCAGGAUUCCUCAAACCCGCUUCAUCACAGCAGGAGAGCCCCAGGCUCUGUGGGAGACCACCCUCUGGGGUGUUUGGUCGGAAGAACCCCCGUGUGUGCAGUUUCCCCACACCCACCACCUCGGCUCUGGUUUGCUUUCGCGCUAUGAAUGUCUGCUUCCCCAUCUCAACCCUCCUGGGAGGAUGUCACAAACACGCACAGCCUCUGGCUCCACACACUCCCGCCUUGGCCCCAGGAGCCCCGGAUCAUCUCCCAGCCCUGCCCUCUGCCAGCUACCUUGUCCCAGUCCACCACUUUGAACUUUGGCUCCAUCAAAGGGUCUGUCUUCUGAGUGUUCACAGAGGCCACAGUCCCAUUCUCCACGGAGCCCUGGGGAGAGAAGAGACAGGAAUUGCAGAGCCCGUGGGUCACAGGCUGGGGCAGCUAGGUCCACAUGCCCAUAAGAAAUGCAGCCCAGAGAAGAAGACGGUCCCUCUAGGAGCUCCCAUGUGUGGGUCAGCAGCUGUACGUGGGGCAGAACUGGCAGAGAGGUGCCCAGAUGGGCUCAAGGUGAAAUCGAAGUCGCAGAGAAGCCAAGUCAGAAGGAAAUGGAAUUGUGGAAUGUACCAGGAAAGUCACAUGGCUGCAGCUGGCCCUGACGUCAUGGGGUGGUGGUGAGGAGGCUGGGGAGGGCAGGAGAGAGGUGGGGAGAGCAAUGCCACUGGGAGGCCUGCCCUCAGAUGCCCCGUGACUAAAGCAUACUGUGGUGCCGGUGACCGUGGUGGGGACCCCGGAAGCAGGGUACUUGGCAAGGACUGAGGAGCCGAAGCAGCCCUCUGGGGUUUCUAUUGGCACAAUUCUUCCAUUUUUGCUUCCAAACGAACCAAGAGAAACUGGGGGUGACGGCGAAGCUGGCAUUCUCUGGGGAAACCCAUAUCAACCCAAGUAAAAGUAGACUUCUGUGGUCCUGUC